CCUAAUACAUGCAAGUCGAGCGAAUCUUUGGGAGCUUGCUCCCAUUGGUUAGCGGCGGACGGGUGAGUAACACGUGGGCAACCUGCCUGUAAGACUGGGAUAACUUCGGGAAACCGGAGCUAAUACCGGAUAAUCCUUUUCCUCACAUGAGGGAGAGCUGAAAGACGGUUUCGGCUGUCACUUACAGAUGGGCCCGCGGCGCAUUAGCUAGUUGGUGAGGUAACGGCUCACCAAGGCGACGAUGCGUAGCUAUGUGCGGACGGGAUAAGUGCUGAAAGCAUCUAAGCAUGAAGCCCCCCUCAAGAUGAGAUUUCCCAUAGCGCAAGCUAGUAAG
Molecule: non-coding RNA, 334 nt
Filed under: Neobacillus massiliamazoniensis
Lineage: Bacteria; Bacillati; Bacillota; Bacilli; Caryophanales; Bacillaceae
Description: Bacillus sp. LF1 Bacterial small subunit ribosomal RNA
Rfam family: Bacterial small subunit ribosomal RNA
Source: Rfam by way of RNAcentral